RNAcentral lists this ribosomal RNA (890 nucleotides) under Anaerolineaceae bacterium enrichment culture clone B6_124. RNAcentral's name for it is "bacterial SSU rRNA". It matches the Rfam family "Bacterial small subunit ribosomal RNA", at positions 8 to 916 of the family's 1533-position model. RNAcentral also lists the same sequence under 1 other name. Lineage: Bacteria; Bacillati; Chloroflexota; Anaerolineae; Anaerolineales; Anaerolineaceae. The record is from RNAcentral.
AGAGUUUGAUCAUGGCUCAGGAUGAACGUUGGCGGCGUGCCUAAUACAUGCAAGUCGAACGAAGAUUGUAGUAAUACUGUCUUAGUGGCGAACGGGUGAGUAACGCGUGGGUGACCUGCCCCGAAGUGUGGGAUAACAGUUCGAAAGGACUGCUAAUACCGCAUAAUAUCCAAGAGAUUAGAUGCUUUUGGAUUAAAGGAGUAAUUCGCUUCGGGAGGGGCCCGCGUCCCAUCAGCUAGUUGGUAAGGUAAUGGCUUACCAAGGCGAUGACGGGUAGGGGACCUGAGAGGGUGGCCCCCCACAAUGGAACUGAAACACGGUCCAUACACCUACGGGUGGCAGCAGUAGGGAAUAUUAGUAAUGGGCGAAAGCCUGAACUAGCAACGCCGCGUGUGCGAAGAAGGCCUUCGGGUUGUAAAGCACUUUUUGAGAGGAUGAGGAAGGACGGUACUCUCAGAAUAAGUCUCGGCUAACUACGUGCCAGCAGCCGCGGUAACACGUAGGAGGCAAACGUUAUCCGGAUUUACUGGGCGUAAAGCGCGUGUAGGUGGUUUGGUAAGUAGGGCGUGAAAGCUCCCGGCUCAACUGGGAGAGGACGUUCUAAACUACCAAGCUUGAGGAUGGUAGAGGGAGGUGGAAUUCCGGGUGUAGCGGUGGAAUGCGCAGAUAUCCGGAGGAACACCAGUGGCGAAGGCGGCCUCCUGGACCAUUCCUGACACUCAGACGCGAAAGCUAGGGUAGCAAACGGGAUUAGAGACCCCGGUAGUCCUAGCCCUAAACGAUGUAGACUUGGCGUCGGUGGUUUAAACGCCAUCGGUGUCGGAGCUAACGCGUUAAGUCUACCGCCUGGGGACUACGGCCGCAAGGUUAAAACUCAAAGGAAUUGACGG